Long non-coding RNA from Stegostoma tigrinum, 415 nucleotides. RefSeq lists it as uncharacterized. NCBI's taxonomy places the organism in Eukaryota, Metazoa, Chordata, Chondrichthyes, Orectolobiformes, Stegostomatidae. The record is from RefSeq and is a predicted model, not a curated record. The transcript is spliced from 3 exons.
CUGACUGGCUUACGUAGUUGACAUCUCGAAGGGAAGUCUGAAAUGAAUGCUCGUGGAGUCAAUAGAUGUGAAGCUGGAAAAGCACAACAGGUCAGACAGCAUCUGAGGAGCAGGAAAGUCAACAUUUCCGGCUGAAACCCUUCACCAGGACUCAUCAGUGCUCAUCUGAAGUGAUCUUCAUUUCCUCAAUCGUGGCAAUGGGGCAAGGCCUACCCGAGCUCGUUCAGCUGAAAGACAGAAUAUGAUCACAACGUUUGUGAUGGAAGAAGAUUGUGAAAAAUAAAUACAUUCCACUCAUGCGUAUAUGAUUCCCUCCUAAGAAAAUAAAGCAAUGCGUAACAAAGACAUAAUUGUACAGGCUCCAGAAAGCAUGCUGGAAGGUGUGUGCAAGGGGGGGAAGAAAAAAUCUGAGGUG